Long non-coding RNA from Athalia rosae (coleseed sawfly), 5803 nucleotides. RefSeq lists it as uncharacterized. NCBI's taxonomy places the organism in Eukaryota, Metazoa, Arthropoda, Insecta, Hymenoptera, Athaliidae. The record is from RefSeq and is a predicted model, not a curated record. The transcript is spliced from 7 exons.
CGAUAUGCAUGCUUCUCAGUGGGACGUCAAUAACUUAUCCUGCUGUUGUUCGUCUUGGUUGGGCAGAUCUGUGAGAGGUGGAAAAAAGUCGUCGAUGUACAACCCCCCCAACAAUAAUUACCACAAUUUUUUAAAAAACUAGAGGACUGACUGAACGUCAGUGCGUAAUGCCUGAUUUGAGAUCGUACCACCGGUACAAGGUGUGAUCUACAAUAGUGCACUGAUAUCAGUGAUGAGAAGAAAGAUAACGAACAACAACGACAUCUGAUAAGCAGGUACGGACCGAGUCAUGGAACAUUUUUGAUGAUGGGGAAUUAAACCCCCUUAACCCAUGCCAGGGACUGGUCGGCGUAGUCGGCAUUCAGCCAACGAGGUCGCCUAGGUCCGUGAUUCAAAUACAUGAUGGAUUCAAUAGACUCGUUGACUAGAGAUUAUGGACAUGGCACCGUGGACGGAAUAAUAUGUUUUAGUCACUGACUGCACAUUUUGAAUUGAAAAAGCAUCACAUCAGAUCUAAUGAUCCGGGUAACGAACAGGGAUAACUAGAAUUGAUGCAUGCAAUCAUGUAGUCAUUGGUUUUACAUCCUCAAUGUUGUUAUUUGAAUAUCUGGUUACUCAAUGCCAACAAGGUAAUACAAUUAAUACAAUAAUAUACAUAUAACAUGAUACACUUUUCCACAACCGUGUGAUAUCUCUUCUGUAAUCACGCAUUUCUAAUGUUCCAUUUCAAUACAUAUGUAUGUAUUGAACUUACCUACAGUACAUCUUAGCAUAUACGUUUUUUAGGCACCAAAUAAUUACUAACAGCUCGCUAUGCGCUCAUUAUACUGCUAAGAGAAGCAUGUGUAUGUGACUAAAUGUUAAAAAUAAGCGGGAUCUAAAAGGUACGGCACCAUGAAUCACAGUUGCUUUUUUCAUCUGGUUCAAAAUUAUACCUCCACAAAAGAGACAUAUCGUCCCCUUUCUGCGUCAAAAUUGAGAUUAUUGGCUAGAAAUCCUGUAAAGUACUUUUGAACAGACUAAGUUCUUUGAAAUUGAAAAUUUUCCUGUACGUCACAGGAUAUGGCUUUUGAGGGCUCAUCCCUCGCCCAUAAUUCGAGAUUUUACCCUUGUCGAAUUUUACGACAAGCGAUCUGCCUCCUGAUUAUUCCAGGGAUUGGUUGACAUUGAAAAAAACUAGAUCAUUGAUGUCUACCGUUGAAUUGAAUUUAUAGUUAAUUCAUGUUAAUGUUACACCCAAACUUACACCUACUGUAAAUAUAUUACCCGACAUUGGUUGGGCAUUUAAUUGUUAAUUCAUGAAAAGAAUAACUUAUUGCAGGUGGAUGCAUGAUGCAUUUCAAGAUCUGCGUCAUUGCAUCCUUGAGUGCUUAAGGUACCAAGAAGUAUGUUUUGAGUGAGCGCGCCAGAAUCUUUAAUCUGUCUUGAUUAACUUUUAUGUUUCAAAGGAUAUGUACUACAUAGGUACAGUCUUAUACGUACAGUGAGAAUUCUGGCUACUACACAUGACAGGCACAAUCGAGGCAAGAUAAAGAGAAAGGCCGAGGCUUGUCAAUGACACAAUGCCGUUGCGAUGCAGUUGAGUAGAUGUGACAAUACAAUCUCACUUUCCUCAUAAGAUGUUAACAUUUUCAAUUAUAUGAAUGAUUUAGUGGGGUGCUUGUUAAUUCUCUAUUCUACCAUUCCAGCCUAACUAUGGAUUAUUUACAGCGACAGGUAUUUCAUAUAAGUUUUCACUAAUGCUGUCUUGAAUUAAAUUCAUCGCAUUAGUCAACGCCUCAUCCUAAGAGGUUGAUUCGCCUGCUGUAGAUGACGCUGGUAACUGCUGAGGUUGAUCUGGGGUGAUGGAAUAUAGGAGUUUGCAAAGCAAUGACGAAUUCCAAUUAUUGAAGAUUAUCACAUGGGAUUACCUGGUGUCGACACUCACCCUUCCAUUUCUCCACCGGCAAGUCCAUAUCUUCAAAACUUUGGUCAUAUGGUAAGGACUCCGGCUCAUCAGAAGGGUCUGCAUAUUGUGCAAGGUAAGGAUGUGCCAAUGCCUGUUGUGCCGUUAUUCUCCUUUCCGCAUCCAACUCUAACAUUAAUUCCAGCAAGUUGAUUGCUGUAACAUGUAGCAGAAAGUUUAGGGCUAUUCACCCUUGUUCAUAAACAGCGAUACUUGUUUUGAGAGAUUCAUAAUUCAAUACCUAUUACACCUAUUAAUUUUAUCAAGCAGUUUCUCUCACCUAAUGGAUUCGCACCACGAAACACUUCCUUGAAAUCCUUCUUUUUGAGUGGAGGUAAGCUUUGUAUGUAAUUUCUAGCCUGGAAUAAAAUUUGAUUGUUACCCAAGUUAAAAUGCGUACAAAGCUAUUAUACGUAUCAAGUUAACUUGAAAAGAAAUCACUUUAGUCUAUAGCAGCAUGAUUCGAGCAUGUUCAAGCAUCGGUUAUUGAUUUUCAUGGGUAAAACGUAGCUUUAUCUUCCAGAUAAAUCAAAUAAGCCCUUGAAAGUUCAAUUUUGUUAUCGAUCGUGCAAAGGGUUGGUAGAAUUUGCAUGCAAAACAUGUUCAAUCGCGUAUCAGCAUAUGUAUUUUCAUGCCAGUAAUUGAUUAAAACGGUCUUAAAAUUCUUCCGGUGAGAGGAGCACUAUACCUAUAUGGAGAUAUAUACAUUCAAUGAAUACACAGUACAGGUGCAGUGAAAACAUUUAAACCGGAGGGAUUCAGCAUCGACAAUACUUGGCAAAGUGACGCUGUGUGACGUGAUGCAAUGUGCCAGACCCUACACUAUAUUUGACUCAAUUCCUAUUUACCUCUUGGCUGGUAAUUUUGGCUAAAGUAUCUUCUGUGGGCGUACCACAAAGCACGAGCACUCUGGUUAGAUGAUCAAUGUCUGACAACAGUUAAGGCAUUUUGUUUCAAGCGAAACUCACAUAAAGUUUUGCAUAAACAUGGAAAUUUCUUUUGGACUUCAAAGGUUGCAACAAUUUUAUGGUAUUUUAUACUCUGCAAAGCGAUCAGUAUGUGGUGGAUGACUGUCAGUUUGAAGGUAGCAUACGAUCGUAUAUAUCUGUAUAAUUAGCAUAAUAUCAACAGGUCAUAAAACCACUCCGCGACUAUUCGAACACUGGAAUUCUCACACAGCAUGAUUAAACGUCUUAAUAAAUUAAAAAAGUAAUGUGAAGCAAUGACAGGUAGCUCAGGCAGAUGAGUGAAACACUUCAUGCACCAUAAAAGUAGAUAAGCAAGGUUCAUUGCACUUGAGGGUUUGAAUAACAAGAACCGUAUUCUGUAAUGAAAUACAUGUGAUUGUAAGAGGCUUUAUCUAUAUUCCCAUCAAUAAGAAAUUCGUCUGAGAUUGGGAAUUCGGUAACACAAUAUGAAGAGUUAAUUUGACAUACAUUGAAGCUCGAACUGAUAUCUGAUGGACAAUAAUUAAAGUUCAUAGAAUUGCCUAUCUCAGAUUGAUCUGAGUCGACAUAUAUAAAGAUCACAAUGUAGAAUUCAUUGAACCUACCUAAAUUCAAUGUCUUGUGGAGGAGAAAAAAUGUCCCGUUUGUGCAGAAACCUCAUCAUAAUUAUUUAGCAUAUAGUGUGUUUACUAGCGUUAAAUAAUUUCUGCACACUUACCGACUCUGAAGAUAUUUUUUGCAUGAACUCGUCCCGUGGUGUACCCAGUAUCUCCAUGAUAAGAUUCAGUUGGUGGAUAUCUGCUGAGGCUAAGGCUCCACUGACAAUACGCGACUAUUGAGUAUAUCAAGAUACAAGUGUACAUCAUACGUCAAUUCAAAUGCAAUGAAAGCUGUUGCUGCAGCAGACAUUCACACAUAUUUUCAAGAAAUGUGUAUUCGCAUUUCAUAAUGUAUGAUGCCAGGUUUAUAUCAAGUAUUAUCUGUGGUACGCGUGUGUCGUAUUUUUGAAAACUGACUGUAGAUAUAGCAAUUUUUAUCAAUAAUAAUAAGCAUCGAUUAUUUUCAGUGAGAAGAGCUAGUUGUGAUUGAAGGUGAAAUCAUUUAUUCAAGUUAUUGUAUUGCUACGUUGAAGCGUCUUUAAACGUGCUUGAAUAUGAGUAUGCAGUUACCAGAUAGCUUGCUCCAAAGUCAUUCAAUUGGAACCAAUUUGAACCAAGCAGAGAUAGCAUAUAGAGCAAUAAAUUGAACUUUUACCUAUUACGUGCAAGUUGGUCUGUUGAAAUGUUACGAUUAAUAGACUUUCAAUACUUGCAGAUUUGUGUGAGAAAGGCAAUCCGUUCCUUGGAUUCUUGAUAGAUCCUUAGCAAGAAAACAAAAACUAUUGAAGAACAACAAGAAUGUGAGAACACACAUGCUGCUUUUAGGGUCACGCUGGCAAGGAAACAACGUCCUUCCAGUCAGUAAUUCAGCCAUUAUACACCCAACUGACCAAAUAUCGACUGAAAUUCAGUGAAUUUAGAUUUAUGAAAUCAUAUCAAGUUGGAAUAGACACAUGAAUGCACACAAAAAAAGAACAAUAGAGAUGAAGAGAUCUAAGUGGGGAUAGACAGUUUUCCGUUUCAAAACGGUUUCACAUGAAAUAAAUACCAGUCUGGUUGUAAUGCAUCCAGUUGAGCAUAAUCUCUGGAGCUCUGUACCACCUUGUCGCCACAUAUCCUGUCAUCUCGUUCUCUGUCGGCCUGGCUAACCCAAAAUCCAGAAUUUUCAGUUCACAGUCUUCAUUAACGGCAAUGUUGGAUGGCUUCAAAUCCUGAUAAGUAAUUGUGAAGGACAAUUAUCAUCAAAUAACUACCACGCAGAUGAAACAAGCACAGAAGAACCAGCAAUUUGGCGAUGGAAGUUCUGAUAGAAAGUCAUUAACAUAGGAACAAAAUUGUCGUGAAUUUACCCUGUGAAUUAUUCCUGCUGAGUGAAUGUAUUUCAGACCACGAAGUAUCUGAUACACUAGGAACUGUACGUGAUCAUCGCUAAGCUUCUGCGUUCGUACAAUAUUAUUCAAGUCUGCCCCCAUUAAAUGCGUGACCAAGUAACUGUAACAAAAGCCAUGUUAGGUCAGUUGAGUGACUACGAAGUAUGAAGAGGUAGUGAAGUAUUUUUCCCCUAAUACAUACACGUGCUGGAAGUCUGUCAACGUUGUAGAUGGGUGGAACACAUCAAGUAAUCCAAUCACCUAAAAAUUUUUGCAAUUAUCACAUUUUGGGUGCAUGAACCAUUAAUUUACUUGAACAUUUAAAUCACUGUAUGGCAACCUACAUUUUCAUGAUUCAUGUGCUUCAACAUGCGCAAUUCUCUAUAGGUUCUCUUGGCAUGUACAGCCGAUUGGAACGGUCGUGCCAACUUCUUUAUGGCUACCUUUUGCUUGUUGGCUGUGUCUACGGCUGAGCUGUAAGUGAUAAGAGAAAUAUGCAUGUAUAAUGCAAUCUUUAUAUUUGUGACAUACAGGAGCAACCUUUUCAAACCAUUUUUCAAAGCUGGAGGACAAUGUCAAGUUGGGAUCCUCAAGUUACAAAACUCGCAACUUGAGUACGAUUCAUGCACAAUGAAUUAGAAUCAGCACCGCACAAUUUAAGAUGAAAACGGUUUUGAAGGACUGCGGUGUGACAUACCAACGAAAGAUUGUUGUUGUUCAUCUGUACGAUUAAUGCUAUCGCUUCUGUCUUUGAAUAAUUGCAUUUGACAAGCACUAUGAAUAAGUUUGGUGAAAAUAGCUACUAGUGAAAUCCAUGAAAUCCUGACGCGCGACCGCGAUUGUGUUAUGGCCUAUGCGCUAUCGUGUAUCCACUGCUAUAGUGGGCGAGAUAAGCCUGAGAAGCGAGGAAACGACGAGCAGGUACGGAUACCUGUGGGAAUG